GGAGGGGAACAACAGUUGGAAACGACUGCUAAUGCCCCAUAUGCCGAGAGGUGAAACGGUUAAUUCCGCCUGAGGAUGAACUCGCGUCUGAUUAGCUAGUUGGUAGUGUAAUGGACUACCAAGGCGACGAUCAGUAGCUGGUCUAAGAGGAUGAUCAGCCACACUGGGACUGAGACACGGCCCAAACUCCUACGGGAGGCAGCAGUGGGGAAUUUUCCGCAAUGGGCGAAAGCCUGACGGAGCAACGCCGCGUGAGGGAGGAAGGCCCCU
RNAcentral lists this ribosomal RNA (270 nucleotides) under uncultured prokaryote. RNAcentral describes it as "partial 16S ribosomal RNA". It matches the Rfam family "Bacterial small subunit ribosomal RNA", at positions 135 to 419 of the family's 1533-position model. The record is from RNAcentral.